RNAcentral lists this ribosomal RNA (253 nucleotides) under uncultured bacterium. Its description in RNAcentral is "partial 16S ribosomal RNA". It matches the Rfam family "Bacterial small subunit ribosomal RNA", at positions 524 to 776 of the family's 1533-position model. The record is from RNAcentral.
UACGUAGGGUGCUAGCGUUGUUCGGAAUCAUUGGGCGUAAAGCGCGUGUAGGUGGUUAGUUAAGUCGGGUGUGAAAUCCCUGGGCUCAACCGAGGAAGUGCAUCCGAAACUAACUAGCUAGAGAGUGGUAGAGGAAGGUGGAAUUCCUAGUGUAGAGGUGAAAUUCGUAGAUAUUAGGAGGAAUACCGGUGGCGAAGGCGGCCUUCUGGACCAUUUCUGACACUGAGACGCGAAAGCGUGGGGAGCAAACAGG